AGAGUUUGAUCAUGGCUCAGAAUGAACGCUGGCGGCGUGCUUAACACAUGCAAGUCGCACGAGAACGCUUCAGCUUGCUGAAGCUAGUAAAGUGGCGUACGGGUGAGUAACGCGUGGGUAAUCUAUCUCUGAAUUGGGGAUAACAUUGCGAAAGCGAUGCUAAUACCGGAUAACAUCCAUUAGACCUCGGUUUUUUGGAUCAAAGGUGGCCUCUACAUGUAAGCUACUGUUUGGAGACGAGCCCGCGUACCAUUAGCUUGUUGGUAGGGUAACGGCUUACCAAGGCAACGAUGGUUAGCUGGUCUGAGAGGAUGAUCAGCCACACUGGAACUGACACACGGUCCAGACUCCUACGGGAGGCAGCAGUGAGGAAUUUUGCGCAAUGGGGGAAACCCUGACGCAGCAACGCCGCGUGAGUGAUGAAGGCUUUCGGGUCGUAAAGCUCUGUCAAGUGGGAAGAACCCGCGCCGCACAAAUAGUGCGGUGCGCUGACGGUACCACUGAAGGAAGCACCGGCUAACUCCGUGCCAGCAGCCGCGGUAAUACGGGGGGUGCAAGCGUUAUUCGGAAUCAUUGGGCGUAAAGAGCGCGUAGGCGGUCUUCUAUGUCAGGUGUGAAAGCCCGGGGCUCAACCCCCGGAAGUGCACUUGAAACUGGGAGACUUGAGUAUGGGAGAGGGAAGUGGAAUUCCUGGUGUAGCGGUGGAAUGCGCAGAUAUCAGGAGGAACACCGAUGGCGAAGGCAGGUCUCUGGGCCACUACUGACGCUGAGAAGCGAAAGCAUGGGGAGCGAACAGGAUUAGAUACCCUAGUAGUCC
This 817-nucleotide ribosomal RNA is filed under the name uncultured bacterium. RNAcentral's name for it is "bacterial SSU rRNA". It matches the Rfam family "Bacterial small subunit ribosomal RNA", at positions 8 to 796 of the family's 1533-position model. The record is from RNAcentral.